This 373-nucleotide ribosomal RNA is filed under the name uncultured organism. RNAcentral describes it as "partial 16S ribosomal RNA". It matches the Rfam family "Bacterial small subunit ribosomal RNA", at positions 527 to 896 of the family's 1533-position model. The record is from RNAcentral.
GUAGGUGGCAAGCGUUGUCCGGAAUUAUUGGGCGUAAAGCGCGCGCAGGCGGUCCUUUAAGUCUGAUGUGAAAGCCCACGGCUCAACCGUGGAGGGUCAUUGGAAACUGGGGGACUUGAGUACAGAAGAGGAAAGCGGAAUUCCAAGUGUAGCGGUGAAAUGCGUAGAGAUUCGGAGGAACACCAGUGGCGAAGGCGGCUUUCUGGUCUGUAACUGACGCUGAGGCGCGAAAGCGUGGGGAGCAAACAGGGAUUAGAUACCCUGGUAGUCCACGCCGUAAACGAUGAGUGCUAAGUGUUAGGGGGUUUCCCGCCCCUUAGUGCUGCAGCUAACGCAUUAAGCACUCCGCCUGGGGAGUACGGCCGCAAGGCUG